This 254-nucleotide ribosomal RNA is filed under the name uncultured bacterium. RNAcentral describes it as "partial 16S ribosomal RNA". It matches the Rfam family "Bacterial small subunit ribosomal RNA", at positions 524 to 776 of the family's 1533-position model. The record is from RNAcentral.
UACGGAGGGGGCAAGCGUUGUUCGGAAUUACUGGGCGUAAAGGGCGCGCAGGCGGCUGCUCAAGUCAGGCGUGAAAGGCCUGGGCUCAACCCGGGAAUUGCGCUUGAGACUGGGCUGGCUUGAGUGCGGGAGAGGAUGGUGGAAUUCCCAGUGUAGAGGUGAAAUUCGUAGAUAUCUGGAGGAACACCGGUGGCGAAGGCGACAUCCUGGACCGGUAUUGACGCUGAGGCGCGAAAGCCAGGGGAGCAAACGGG